Molecule: ribosomal RNA, 1538 nt
Filed under: Escherichia coli
Lineage: Bacteria; Pseudomonadati; Pseudomonadota; Gammaproteobacteria; Enterobacterales; Enterobacteriaceae
Description: bacterial SSU rRNA
Rfam family: Bacterial small subunit ribosomal RNA
Source: RNAcentral
UUGAAGAGUUUGAUCAUGGCUCAGAUUGAACGCUGGCGGCAGGCCUAACACAUGCAAGUCGAACGGUAACAGGAAGCAGCUUGCUGCUUUGCUGACGAGUGGCGGACGGGUGAGUAAUGUCUGGGAAACUGCCUGAUGGAGGGGGAUAACUACUGGAAACGGUAGCUAAUACCGCAUAACGUCGCAAGACCAAAGAGGGGGACCUUCGGGCCUCUUGCCAUCGGAUGUGCCCAGAUGGGAUUAGCUUGUUGGUGGGGUAACGGCUCACCAAGGCGACGAUCCCUAGCUGGUCUGAGAGGAUGACCAGCCACACUGGAACUGAGACACGGUCCAGACUCCUACGGGAGGCAGCAGUGGGGAAUAUUGCACAAUGGGCGCAAGCCUGAUGCAGCCAUGCCGCGUGUAUGAAGAAGGCCUUCGGGUUGUAAAGUACUUUCAGCGGGGAGGAAGGGAGUAAAGUUAAUACCUUUGCUCAUUGACGUUACCCGCAGAAGAAGCACCGGCUAACUCCGUGCCAGCAGCCGCGGUAAUACGGAGGGUGCAAGCGUUAAUCGGAAUUACUGGGCGUAAAGCGCACGCAGGCGGUUUGUUAAGUCAGAUGUGAAAUCCCCGGGCUCAACCUGGGAACUGCAUCUGAUACUGGCAAGCUUGAGUCUCGUAGAGGGGGGUAGAAUUCCAGGUGUAGCGGUGAAAUGCGUAGAGAUCUGGAGGAAUACCGGUGGCGAAGGCGGCCCCCUGGACGAAGACUGACGCUCAGGUGCGAAAGCGUGGGGAGCAAACAGGAUUAGAUACCCUGGUAGUCCACGCCGUAAACGAUGUCGACUUGGAGGUUGUGCCCUUGAGGCGUGGCUUCCGGAGCUAACGCGUUAAGUCGACCGCCUGGGGAGUACGGCCGCAAGGUUAAAACUCAAAUGAAUUGACGGGGGCCCGCACAAGCGGUGGAGCAUGUGGUUUAAUUCGAUGCAACGCGAAGAACCUUACCUGGUCUUGACAUCCACGGAAGUUUUCAGAGAUGAGAAUGUGCCUUCGGGAACCGUGAGACAGGUGCUGCAUGGCUGUCGUCAGCUCGUGUUGUGAAAUGUUGGGUUAAGUCCCGCAACGAGCGCAACCCUUAUCCUUUGUUGCCAGCGGUCCGGCCGGGAACUCAAAGGAGACUGCCAGUGAUAAACUGGAGGAAGGUGGGGAUGACGUCAAGUCAUCAUGGCCCUUACGACCAGGGCUACACACGUGCUACAAUGGCGCAUACAAAGAGAAGCGACCUCGCGAGAGCAAGCGGACCUCAUAAAGUGCGUCGUAGUCCGGAUUGGAGUCUGCAACUCGACUCCAUGAAGUCGGAAUCGCUAGUAAUCGUGGAUCAGAAUGCCACGGUGAAUACGUUCCCGGGCCUUGUACACACCGCCCGUCACACCAUGGGAGUGGGUUGCAAAAGAAGUAGGUAGCUUAACCUUCGGGAGGGCGCUUACCACUUUGUGAUUCAUGACUGGGGUGAAGUCGUAACAAGGUAACCGUAGGGGAACCUGCGGUUGGAUCACCUCCUU